Molecule: RNase P RNA, 293 nt
Filed under: Rickettsiales bacterium
Lineage: Bacteria; Pseudomonadati; Pseudomonadota; Alphaproteobacteria; Rickettsiales
Description: RNase P RNA component class A
Rfam family: Bacterial RNase P class A
About the family: Ribonuclease P (RNase P) is a ubiquitous endoribonuclease, found in archaea, bacteria and eukarya as well as chloroplasts and mitochondria. Its best characterised activity is the generation of mature 5'-ends of tRNAs by cleaving the 5'-leader elements of precursor-tRNAs. Cellular RNase Ps are ribonucleoproteins.
Source: RNAcentral
GCGGAUGGUCGGAGAACUGCUGUGCGGCUUGCCGCAUAGAGGAAAGUCCGGACACCUCAAGGGAAUGAUAGCGGGUAACGCCCGUCCGGGGAAACCCGAGGAUUAGAGCCACAGAGACGAGCCUGUUCAGUCAGGAGUGAAACGCGGCAAUCUCUAUCAGGUGCAAAACCAAACAGGACGGUAUUGAGUGCCCUUGUGAGCCGUCGGGUAGGUUGCGAGGAAACGCGCGGCAACACGCGUUCAAGAUGAAUAGUUCUUUAAUACAGAAUCCGGCUUAUAGACCAUCCCAUAGA